This 439-nucleotide ribosomal RNA is filed under the name uncultured bacterium. Its description in RNAcentral is "partial 16S ribosomal RNA". It matches the Rfam family "Bacterial small subunit ribosomal RNA", at positions 339 to 795 of the family's 1533-position model. The record is from RNAcentral.
CUACGGGUGGCAGCAGUGGGGAAUAUUGGGCAAUGGGCGAAAGCCUGACCCAGCAACGCCGCGUGAAGGAAGAAGGUUUUCGGAUCGUAAACUUCUAUCCCAGGUGAAGAUAAUGACGGUAGCCUGGAAGGAAGCCCCGGCUAACUACGUGCCAGCAGCCGCGGUAAUACGUAGGGGGCAAGCGUUGUCCGGAAUGAUUGGGCGUAAAGGGCGCGUAGGCGGCCUUCUAAGUCCGAUGUGAAAGUCCUGCUUUUAAGGUGGGAAUUGCAUUGGAAACUGGAGGGCUUGAGUGCAGGAGAGGUAAGUGGAAUUCCCGGUGUAGCGGUGAUAUGCGUAGAGAUCGGGAGGAACACCAGUGGCGAAGGCGACUUACUGGACUGUAACUGACGCUGAGGCGCGAAAGUGUGGGGAGCAAACAGGAUUAGAUACCCUGGUAGUC